Molecule: ribosomal RNA, 292 nt
Filed under: uncultured bacterium
Lineage: Bacteria
Also listed under: 1 other name
Description: partial 16S ribosomal RNA
Source: RNAcentral
GGACUACAAGGGUAUCUAAUCCCUUUUGCUCCCCAUACUUUCGAGCCUGAGUGUCAGGAUUUGUCCAGCGGGCUGCCUUCGCCGUCGGUGUUCCUCCAGAUAUCUACGCAUUUCACCGCUACACCUGGAAUUCCACCCGCCUCUCCAAUCCUCUAGACAGAUAGUUUCGGGCGCCGUUCCGGAGUUAAGCCCCGGGAUUUCACGCCCGACACACCUGCCCACCUGCGCUCCCUUUACGCCCAGUGAAUCCGAGUAACGCUUGCAGUCUCUGUAUUACCGCGGCGGCUGGCAC